AGCGAACGCUGGCGGCGUGCUUAACACAUGCAAGUCGAACGUGAAAGGGAGCAAUCCCAAGUAAAGUGGCGUACGGGUGAAUAACGCGUAGGUAAUCUACCCCAAAAUCUGAAUAACUUGCCGAAAGGCGGGCUAAUACUGGAUAGAGCGAUGGAGUCCGUAAUUGGGUUUUUCGGGAAAGGGAGGCAGCAAUGCCCCUCGUUUUGGGAUGAGCCUGCGUCUCAUUAGCUAGUUGGCGAGGUAAUAGCUCACCAAGGCUUUGAUGGGUAGCUGGUCUGAGAGGAUGAUCAGCCACACUGGAACUGAGACACGGUCCAGACUCCUACGGGAGGCAGCAGUGGGGAAUCUUGCGCAAUGGACGAAAGUCUGACGCAGCCACGCCGCGUGAGUGAAGAAGGCCUUCGGGUUGUAAAGCUCUGUCGGGCGGGACGAAAAUGCAUUAAGUGAAUAGCUUAGUGUACUGACGGUACCGCCAAAGGAAGCACCGGCUAACUCCGUGCCAGCAGCCGCGGUAA
Molecule: ribosomal RNA, 515 nt
Filed under: uncultured bacterium
Lineage: Bacteria
Description: partial 16S ribosomal RNA
Rfam family: Bacterial small subunit ribosomal RNA
Source: RNAcentral